Non-coding RNA from Salmo salar (Atlantic salmon), 54 nucleotides. NCBI's taxonomy places the organism in Eukaryota, Metazoa, Chordata, Actinopteri, Salmoniformes, Salmonidae. The record is from Rfam.
AAUGCACCAAUUUGUAAGUCGCUCUGGAUAAGAGCAUCUGCUAAAGGAUGUAAA